RNAcentral lists this ribosomal RNA (237 nucleotides) under uncultured bacterium. Its description in RNAcentral is "partial 16S ribosomal RNA". It matches the Rfam family "Bacterial small subunit ribosomal RNA", at positions 99 to 334 of the family's 1533-position model. The record is from RNAcentral.
CGAACGGGUGAGUAACACGUGAGGAACCUGCCUCAAAGAGGGGGACAACAGUUGGAAACGACUGCUAAUACCGCAUAAGCCCACAGGUCGGCAUCGACCAGAGGGAAAAGGAGCAAUCCGCUUUGAGAUGGCCUCGCGUCCGAUUAGCUAGUUGGUGAGGUAAUAGCCCACCAAGGCGACGAUCGGUAGCCGGACUGAGAGGUUGAACGGCCACAUUGGGACUGAGACACGGCCCAG